Molecule: ribosomal RNA, 492 nt
Filed under: uncultured bacterium
Lineage: Bacteria
Description: partial 16S ribosomal RNA
Rfam family: Bacterial small subunit ribosomal RNA
Source: RNAcentral
GAUGAACGCUAGCGGCAGGCUUAACACAUGCAAGUCGAGGGGUAUAGUAGCAAUACUAGAGACCGGCGCACGGGUGCGUAACGCGUAUGCAAUCUACCUUUCACAGAGGGAUAGCCCAGAGAAAUUUGGAUUAAUACCUCCUAGUAUAGUAUCUUGGCAUCAAGGAACUAUUAAAGUCACAACGGUGAAAGAUGAGCAUGCGUACCAUUAGUUAGUUAGUAAGGUAACAGCUUACCAAGACUACGAUGGGUAGGGGUCGUGAGAGGGAAAUCCCACACACUGGUACUGAGACACGGACCAGACUCCUACGGGAGGCAGCAGUGAGGAAUAUUGGACAAUGGGCGCAAGCCUGAUCCAGCCAUGCCGCGUGAAGGAUGACGGUCCUAUGGAUUGUAAACUGCUUUUGUACAGGAAGAAACACCCCGACGUGUCGGGACUUGACGGUACUGUAAGAAUAAGGAUCGGCUAACUCCGUGCCAGCCGCCGCGGUAA